This 168-nucleotide ribosomal RNA is filed under the name Pterocryptis cochinchinensis. RNAcentral describes it as "partial 12S rRNA". Lineage: Eukaryota; Metazoa; Chordata; Actinopteri; Siluriformes; Siluridae. The record is from RNAcentral.
CACCGCGGUUAUACGAAAGACCCCAGUUAAUAGCCACGGCGUAAAGGGUGGUUAAGGAGUAUACUAAAUAAAGCUAAAGAUCUUCUAAGCCGUCAUACGCACUCCGAAGACACGAGACCCAAACACGAAAGUAGCUUUAGCCCCCCCGACUCCACAAAAGCUAAGAAA